UAGGGAAUAUUAGUAAUGGGCGAAAGCCUGAACUAGCAACGCCGCGUGUGCGAAGAAGGCCUUCGGGUUGUAAAGCACUUUUAGAGAGGAUGAGGAAGGACGGUACUCUCAGAAUAAGUCUCGGCUAACUACGUGCCAGCAGCCGCGGUAACACGUAGGAGGCGAACGUUAUCCGGAUUUACUGGGCGUAAAGCGCGUGUAGGUGGUUUGGUAAGUAGGGCGUGAAAGCUCCCGGCUCAACUGGGAGAGGCCGUUCUAAACUGCCAAGCUAGAGGAUGGUAGAGGGAGGUGGAAUUCCGGGUGUAGCGGUGGAAUGCGCAGAUAUCCGGAGGAACACCAGUGGCGAAGGCGGCCUCCUGGGCCACUCCUGACACUCAGACGCGAAAGCUAGGGUAGCAAACGGG
This 404-nucleotide ribosomal RNA is filed under the name uncultured bacterium. RNAcentral describes it as "bacterial SSU rRNA". It matches the Rfam family "Bacterial small subunit ribosomal RNA", at positions 355 to 776 of the family's 1533-position model. The record is from RNAcentral.